GACGAACGCUGGCGGCGUGCUUAACACAUGCAAGUCGAACGGAAAGGCCCUGCUUUUGUGGGGUGCUCGAGUGGCGAACGGGUGAGUAACACGUGAGUAACCUGCCCUUGACUUUGGGAUAACUUCAGGAAACUGGGGCUAAUACCGGAUAGGAGCUCCUGCUGCAUGGUGGGGGUUGGAAAGUUUCGGCGGUUGGGGAUGGACUCGCGGCUUAUCAGCUUGUUGGUGGGGUAGUGGCUUACCAAGGCUUUGACGGGUAGCCGGCCUGAGAGGGUGACCGGCCACAUUGGGACUGAGAUACGGCCCAGACUCCUACGGGAGGCAGCAGUGGGGAAUAUUGCACAAUGGGCGGAAGCCUGAUGCAGCAACGCCGCGUGCGGGAUGACGGCCUUCGGGUUGUAAACCGCUUUCGCCUGUGACGAAGCGUGAGUGACGGUAAUGGGUAAAGAAGCACCGGCUAACUACGUGCCAGCAGCCGCGGUGAUACGUAGGGUGCGAGCGUUGUCCGGAUUUAUUGGGCGUAAAGGGCUCGUAGGUGGUUGAUCGCGUCGGAAGUGUAAUCUUGGGGCUUAACCCUGAGCGUGCUUUCGAUACGGGUUGACUUGAGGAAGGUAGGGGAGAAUGGAAUUCCUGGUGGAGCGGUGGAAUGCGCAGAUAUCAGGAGGAACACCAGUGGCGAAGGCGGUUCUCUGGGCCUUUCCUGACGCUGAGGAGCGAAAGCGUGGGGAGCGAACAGGCUUAGAUACCCUGGUAGUCCACGCUGUAAACGGUGGGUACUAGGUGUGGGGUCCAUUCCACGGGUUCCGUGCCGUAGCUAACGCUUUAAGUACCCCGCCUGGGGAGUACGGCCGCAAGGCUAAAACUCAAAGGAAUUGACGGGGCCCCGCACAAGCGGCGGAGCAUGCGGAUUAAUUCGAUGCAACGCGUAGAACCUUACCUGGGUUUGACAUGGAUCGGGAGCGCUCAGAGAUGGGUGUGCCUCUUUUGGGGUCGGUUCACAGGUGGUGCAUGGCUGUCGUCAGCUCGUGUCGUGAGAUGUUGGGUUAAGUCCCGCAACGAGCGCAACCCUUGUUCACUGUUGCCAGCACGUUAUGGUGGGGACUCAGUGGAGACCGCCUGGGUCAACUCGGAGGAAGGUGGGGAUGACGUCAAGUCAUCAUGCCCCUUAUGUCCAGGGCUUCACGCAUGCUACAAUGGCUGGUACAGAGAGUGGCGAGCCUGUGAGGGUGAGCGAAUCUCGGAAAGCCGGUCUCAGUUCGGAUUGGGGUCUGCAACUCGACCUCAUGAAGUCGGAGUCGCUAGUAAUCGCAGAUCAGCAACGCUGCGGUGAAUACGUUCCCGGG
RNAcentral lists this ribosomal RNA (1343 nucleotides) under uncultured bacterium. Its description in RNAcentral is "16S ribosomal RNA". It matches the Rfam family "Bacterial small subunit ribosomal RNA", at positions 28 to 1378 of the family's 1533-position model. The record is from RNAcentral.